RNAcentral lists this long non-coding RNA (593 nucleotides) under Fukomys damarensis (Damara mole-rat). RNAcentral's name for it is "lncRNA (ENSFDAG00000029652.1)". The record is from RNAcentral. Lineage: Eukaryota; Metazoa; Chordata; Mammalia; Rodentia; Bathyergidae.
ACCUGAAGUCAGUGCUGCUCUUGGACUUUUCGAGUAAACGAGUCCAUAUGUUCCAAUUUUUCAAUAUGUUUUCUUACCAUGUUUGACAGGAAGAAUAACAAGUGAUACCCUGGAAAAGUGUCCAUGCUCCUGGAGAUGCACGGAAGGCGAUGUCCUGACAGAAGAGCGUGCUUGCUUGGGCACAGAGGUGGUUUGACCAAGGCAAAUUUACCAGUGAGAUUUGAGAUAUUUAUAAAAAUAAAAACCUCCAAAGAGUGAAGAUGAGAACCUGGGGUGGCUUCGUGACCAUGGGGGCUGACUGCCCUUAUCUUCAACCAGUACAGCAAAAGCAAGGUUUGGGGGCUGUGACUGUGGAGUGGUUCUCACUGUACAAGACCCCACUGACCCCACGGCUUUCUCUGUUGGAAGGACACUGAUAGCCGCUGGCACGUAUUUACUCAUCCUUGUGAAUUUGUUGGCUUGAUGUAGAGCAGACAGCAGGUUUCUGAGAAGCCUGAAAGCAGGCCAGUGGGGCAGGAAUUUCUCAGACUGUGGUGGACAAGACUUAUUGGAGAUGGCCAGCACCUUCCUGUGACUCUCUAGUGAACUGUGAC